AUGUCCGCCGCCACCGCCGCCGAAUCCCAGGAGCGGCGGCGAUCGGAGGCCGUCGCGUGGCUGCGCGCGCUGCUCCGGGAGUCGGCGCUGCCGCUCCCGCCGCCGCGCGCCUCGGACGACGAGCUCCGGGCCGCGCUCGCGGACGGCGCGCUGCUCCGCGCCGCGCUCGACAAGCUCGGCCGCCCCUCUUCCCCGCGCGACGAGGGCGGACCGGCGGCGGCGGAGCGCGAUGUCGGGCGGUUCCUCGCGGCCGUGGAGCGGAUGGGCCUCCCCAGCUUCGCGCCCUCGGACCUCCAGACGGGCCCGAUGUCAGCUGUGGUUGCCUGUCUUCUUGCACUAAGGGAUCAGUUUGUCUCCCAUGCUGGGGAAGGCUGGACCUGUGGCCUUCCACAAAAUGGGAGGAUGCACACCAUGGGAUUUCCCGGAAGGGAGAAUGGCCAGGUCACACAAAAUUCUGAAGCAAGAGAAGAUGGCAAACAAAUGGAAACAACGCUACAAAAGGCCUCCAGAAGUCCAGCCAUGUCAGAACCAUCAUCUGUUAUAUCACGGCCUGAACUAUCUUCUACAUCGCGGCAUGCUGGACGCAAUUUUCAUGAAGUCUUCCAACUGAGGCAAGGAGGUUAUUCUGAUCUGCCUAGUUCUAAAAUUUCAGAUAUGAUGAAAUCCACCAGCUUGGAUAAUGCCCCUACCCAGUCACUUCUGAGUGUUGUGAAUGGCAUCCUCGAUGAGAUUAUUGAGAGGAAGAAUGGUGAAAUUCCUUAUCAUCUCGCUUUCUUGUUGAGAAAGAUCGUAUUGGAGGUUGAACGACGAAUUUCUACGCAGGCAGAGCACAUAAGAAAUCAAAAUAACCUUAUGAAAGCACGUGAAGAGAAAUACAAAUCAAGGAUAAGAGUUUUAGAGGCACUAGCCAGUGGGAAAAUACAUGUAAGCUCAAAUGCAACAAAUGGAAAAGCACAUGUUGCUGCAGAGCCUGUGCACCAGAUGAAGAUGGAGAAAGACAAAUUUGAAGAGAAAAAGCAAUUACUUGAGGAAGAUCUGACAAAGCUGACGAAGGACAAGGAAAGUGUAACUAGAAUGACAAAGGAUAAGGAAGAUAUGGCUAGAUUUUUGAAUGACAAGGAAGACAUAAUUAGAUUGAUGAAAGAGAAGGAAGAAAUGGCUAGAUUAAUGAAAGAGAAGGAAGACACGGUUAGCUUGAAGAAAGGCAAGGAUGGAGAUAGAAAUCAAUCAGCAGAUGAACAUAUAGCUAAGCCAAUUAUGUAUAAAGAUGAACUCAUCAGUUUGAUGAAGGAGAAAGAAAACUAUAAAGUUACAAUUAUGAAAUUGAAGUUAGAAUUAGAAGCUAUGAAAUCAUCAUGUGAAAAGAGCCACAGCCUGUUGGAAACUAAGAACGAGGAUGUACUUAAUCUUCUAAAGGAUAAAGAGAACAGCGGCAACAUAAUAUCACAACUCAGGCAAGAGCUUGCCACGGCAAGAAGAUCACAUGAGACAUAUAUUCAAGAUUUGAAGACUACGGCUCUGCAGGAAAACAGGGAUUUUGAACAAAGGAUAAAAGAAGUGGAGCUAAAGCUAGAAGAUUCUACUAAGAGAGGAAGACAUCUUGAAGAAUUGUUGGAAUCAAGAAUCAAAACCUGGGAGCGAAAGGAAAUCAUGCUGAACCAAUUUGUAGGUGUACAAAUGCAGAAUAUUCAGGAUUUGAGGUUGUCUUCUGUUUCCAUUAGGCAUGAAAUCCAAAACUGCCAGAAGAGAUGGUCUGAAGAACUUAGUGGCCUUGGGCAAAGCCUUAAAGUAUUAGCGAAUGCUUCAGAGAAGUAUCAUGCUACUCUUGAAGAAAACAGAAAAUUGUUCAACGAGGUUCAGGAGCUAAAAGGAAAUAUCAGAGUCUUUUGCCGGAUAAGACCUUUUCUUUGUAACGAGGAUCAUAAGUCUAGUACAACUGAAAUUACUGGUGAUAACGGUGAACUCAUUUUAGCAAACCCUGCAAAAAUUGGAAAAGAGGGGAAUAAGUUGUUUAAAUUUAACAAAGUUCUUGGCCCCACUACUUCUCAAGAUGAGGUAUUCAAGGACAUUCAACCACUAGUUAGAUCAGUCCUUGAUGGCUAUAAUGUUUGCAUUUUUGCGUAUGGACAAACUGGAUCAGGAAAAACCUACACAAUGACUGGACCUGAAGCUGCUACUGAGGAGGAAUUGGGUGUCAAUUUUAGAGCUCUGAACGACCUGUUCCUUAUAUCACGCAAUCGAGGAGAUACAUUCAAUUAUGAAGUUAGUGUUCAAAUGAUUGAAAUAUACAACGAACAAAUCCAUGAUCUCUUGGGAAGCAAUGGUUCAGAGAAGAAUCUAGGGAUUUUGAAUUCCAGCCUUCCCAAUGGGCUUGCUGUUCCUGAUGCAACAUUGCAUCCCGUCAACUCAACGACCGAUGUUAUUGAGUUAAUGAGAACAGGACUUGGGAACCGAUCUGUGGGUGCUACAGCACUGAACGAGCGAAGCAGCAGAUCUCACAGUGUUGUCACUGUACACGUUCAAGGUGUAGAUUUGAAAACUGGAGCUACUUUGCGCGGGGCCCUCCAUCUUGUUGAUCUUGCUGGAAGUGAAAGGGUGGACCGUUCUGCUGUUACAGGCGAUAGACUCAAAGAAGCACAACAUAUCAAUAAAUCUCUGUCUGCUCUUGGAGAUGUUAUAUUUUCUUUAUCACAGAAGACUUCUCAUGUACCAUACCGGAACAGCAAACUUACACAAGUCCUGCAGAGUUCUUUGGGUGGCCAUGCAAAGACCCUCAUGUUUGUGCAGAUCAAUCCAGAUGUGUCAUCUUAUGCAGAGAGUUUAAGUACUUUGAGGUUUGCUGAAAGGGUUUCGGGAGUGGAACUAGGUGCUGCAAAGGCAAAUAAAGAGGGCAAACAUAUAAGAGAAUUUAAGGAACAGCUCUCACUGCUCAAAGAUAAAAUUGCAAAGAAGGAUGAGGAAAUCAACCAGCUACAGACUCACAGUCCAAGGGUAAAGACGGGCAAACGGGUUGAUUCCUUGCUGAAACAUUCGUCCUCCUCCCCAGGCAUAUCCUCCCUGGGAAGCAAAAUACAACAUCGAAGAACGGCAUCUGGUGGAAAGGCGAUGGGCCUUAUCAGUAGGGCAGGCUCCGAUGCUGAUAACUUCUCUGAGAUCAGUGACAGGCAUUCUGAAACUAGCUCUAUGCAGUCGGUUGAUGAUAUCCAGCAGCAGAGGGAGAUUAUGGUACUUUCCAAGCUCCCUGAAGAUGAGAUGGGUUCGAAUUCAGCUGAUCCUGAGCUUGCCAGCUUUGGUUACGCCGAUUCAGAGGGGAGGUUAAGCGAUAUAUCAGAUAGUGGCAUAUCCAUGGGUACAGAAACCGACGGCUCGAUAAGUAGCAUGGUUGACUUUGCUCUCUUCCCGGAGCAGGAAAAAAUAGCUAGCGCAUGGAAAGAACAAGAAAAUGCACCCAACACACCAAAAGAUCGACUACCUAAGGUGACCACUCGAGUACAAAAGGCAACAACACCAAAAACAGCUCCAUCUUCUAGUGUGUGGCCCAAAUCAAGAGAUUCUACUCCUAGAUCUUCAGCAUCAGCAAGCACACGAAGAAGCACAAUUACACAAGCAACAUCCUCACCAAGAACCUCGAAUACUCCGAAGCGAUGGAAUUAG
RNAcentral lists this ribosomal RNA (3654 nucleotides) under Triticum aestivum (bread wheat). RNAcentral's name for it is "partial small subunit ribosomal RNA". The record is from RNAcentral. Lineage: Eukaryota; Viridiplantae; Streptophyta; Magnoliopsida; Poales; Poaceae.